Molecule: ribosomal RNA, 468 nt
Filed under: uncultured bacterium
Lineage: Bacteria
Description: partial 16S ribosomal RNA
Rfam family: Bacterial small subunit ribosomal RNA
Source: RNAcentral
GACGAACGCUGGCGGCGUGCUUAACACAUGCAAGUCGAACGGAAAGGCCCUGCUUUUGUGGGGUGCUCGAGUGGCGAACGGGUGAGUAACACGUGAGUAACCUGCCCUUGACUUUGGGAUAACUUCAGGAAACUGGGGCUAAUACCGGAUAGGAGCUCCUGCUGCAUGGUGGGGGUUGGAAAGUUUCGGCGGUUGGGGAUGGACUCGCGGCUUAUCAGCUUGUUGGUGGGGUAGUGGCUUACCAAGGCUUUGACGGGUAGCCGGCCUGAGAGGGUGACCGGCCACAUUGGGACUGAGAUACGGCCCAGACUCCUACGGGAGGCAGCAGUGGGGAAUAUUGCACAAUGGGCGGAAGCCUGAUGCAGCAACGUCGCGUGCGGGAUGACGGCCUUCGGGUUGUAAACCGCUUUCGCCUGUGACGAAGCGUGAGUGACGGUAAUGGGUAAAGAGGCACCGGCUAACUACGUG